This 151-nucleotide microRNA precursor is filed under the name Macleaya cordata. Its description in RNAcentral is "mir-172 microRNA precursor family". It matches the Rfam family "mir-172 microRNA precursor family". From Rfam's summary of the family: mir-172 has been experimentally verified in Arabidopsis thaliana. This family is thought to target mRNAs coding for APETALA2-like transcription factors. The mature sequence is excised from the 3' arm of the hairpin. Lineage: Eukaryota; Viridiplantae; Streptophyta; Magnoliopsida; Ranunculales; Papaveraceae. The record is from Rfam by way of RNAcentral.
UUGUUUGCAGGUGUAGCAUCUUCAAGAUUCACAUCCAAAUGAACGGUGGUGAUGUUGAUGAUGAUGUAAUUAAUCAUCUCUCUAUCUCUGCCUGUCUCUGUUUUUUUCAAGUAGUUGAUGAGAAUCUUGAUGAUGCUGCAUCAGCAAUAAG